RNAcentral lists this ribosomal RNA (579 nucleotides) under Aspergillus awamori. RNAcentral's name for it is "partial 18S ribosomal RNA". The stretch from base 218 to 370 matches the Rfam family "5.8S ribosomal RNA". Lineage: Eukaryota; Fungi; Ascomycota; Eurotiomycetes; Eurotiales; Aspergillaceae. The record is from RNAcentral.
UUUCCGUAGGUGAACCUGCGGAAGGAUCAUUACCGAGUGCGGGUCCUUUGGGCCCAACCUCCCAUCCGUGUCUAUUAUACCCUGUUGCUUCGGCGGGCCCGCCGCUUGUCGGCCGCCGGGGGGGCGCCUUUGCCCCCCGGGCCCGUGCCCGCCGGAACCCCAACACGAACACUGUCUGAAAGCGUGCAGUCUGAGUUGAUUGAAUGCAAUCAGUUAAAACUUUCAACAAUGGAUCUCUUGGUUCCGGCAUCGAUGAAGAACGCAGCGAAAUGCGAUAACUAAUGUGAAUUGCAGAAUUCAGUGAAUCAUCGAGUCUUUGAACGCACUUGCGCCCCCUGGUAUUCCGGGGGGCAUGCCUGUCCGAGCGUCAUUGCUGCCCUCAAGCCCGGCUUGUGUGUUGGGUCGCCGUCCCCCUCUCCGGGGGGACGGGCCCGAAAGGCAGCGGCGGCACCGCGUCCGAUCCUCGAGCGUAUGGGGCUUUGUCACAUGCUCUGUAGGAUUGGCCGGCGCCUGCCGACGUUUUCCAACCAUUUUUUCCAGGUUGACCUCGGAUCAGGUAGGGAUACCCGCUGAACUUAA